Molecule: ribosomal RNA, 401 nt
Filed under: Crustacea environmental sample
Lineage: Eukaryota; Metazoa; Arthropoda
Description: partial small subunit ribosomal RNA
Rfam family: Eukaryotic small subunit ribosomal RNA
Source: RNAcentral
GCUUGUCUCAAAGAUUAAGCCAUGCAUGUCUAAGUACAAGCCUCAGUAAGGUGAAACCGCGAAUGGCUCAUUAAAUCACACCUAAUCUACUGGAAAGUUACUAGUUACUUGGAUAACUGAGGUAAUUCUUGAGCUAAUACAUGCGAAAAAUCUCGACUCACGGAGAGAUGCUUUUAUUAGACUAAAACCAAACGGCUUCGGCCGUUCCACUGGUGAAUCUGAAUAACUUUGAGCGGAUCGCACGGCCUUGUGCCGGCGACGUGUCCUUCCAAGGUGUGCCCUAUCAACUGUCGACUGUGAUAUAGACGCUCACAGUGGUUUUGACGGGUAACGGGGAAUCAGGGUUCGAUUCCGGAGAGGGAGCCUUAAAAACGGCUACCACAUCCAAGGAAGGCAGCAGG